Molecule: ribosomal RNA, 501 nt
Filed under: uncultured bacterium
Lineage: Bacteria
Description: partial 16S ribosomal RNA
Rfam family: Bacterial small subunit ribosomal RNA
Source: RNAcentral
AUUGAACGCUGGCGGAAUGCUUUACACAUGCAAGUCGAACGGCAGCACGGGUGCUUGCACCUGGUGGCAAGUGGCGAACGGGUGAGUAAUGUAUCGGAACGUAUCCAAUAAUGGGGGAUAACUAAUCGAAAGGUUGGCUAAUACCGCAUACGCCCUACGGGGGAAAGCAGGGGAUCUUCGGACCUUGCGUUAAUGGAGCGGCCGAUAUCUGAUUAGCUAGUUGGUGAGGUAAAGGCUCACCAAGGCGACGAUCAGUAGCUGGUCUGAGAGGACGACCAGCCACACUGGAACUGAGACACGGUCCAGACUCCUACGGGAGGCAGCAGUGGGGAAUUUUGGACAAUGGGGGCAACCCUGAUCAGCCAUUCUGCGUGAGUGAAGAAGGCCUUCGGGUUGUAAAGCUCUUUCGCAAGGGAAGAAACGAUACAGUCUAAUAAACUGUGUUAAUGACGGUACCUUGAUAAGAAGCACCGGCUAACUACGUGCCAGCCGCCGCUGUAA